UCCCCUAGUAACUGCGAGUGAAGCGGGAAAAGCUCAAAUUUAAAAUCUGGUAGUCUUUGGCUGCCCGAGUUGUAAUCUAGAGAAGCAUUAUCCGCGCUGGACCAUGUAUAAGUCUCCUGGAAUGGAGCGUCAUAGAGGGUGAGAAUCCCGUCUUCGACAUGGACUACCAGGGCUUUGUGAUGUGCUCUCAAAGAGUCGAGUUGUUUGGGAAUGCAGCUCUAAAUGGGUGGUAAAUUCCAUCUAAAGCUAAAUAUUGGCGAGAGACCGAUAGCGAACAAGUACCGUGAGGGAAAGAUGAAAAGAACUUUGGAAAGAGAGUUAAACAGUACGUGAAAUUGUUGAAAGGGAAACGCUUGAAGUCAGUCACAUUGGCCAGGGAUCAACUUUGCUUUUGCUUGGUGUACUUCCUGGUUAAUGGGUCAGCAUCAAUUUUGACCAGUGGAAAAAGAUCAAGGGAAUGUGGCAUCUUCGGAUGUGUUAUAGCCUUUGGUUGCAUACAUUGGUUGGGAUUGAGGAACUCAGCACGCCGCAAGGCCGGGUUUUUUUACCACGUUCGUGCUUAGGAUGCUGGCAUAAUGGCUUUAAUCGACCCGUCUUGAAACACGGACCAAGGAGUCUAACAUGCCUGCGAGUGUUUGGGUGGAAAACCCAAGCGCGUAAUGAAAGUGAAAGUUGGGAUCCCUGUCGUGGGGAGCACCGACGCCCAGACCAGACCUUCUGUGACGGCUCUGCGGUUGAGCAUGUAUGUUGGGACCCGAAAGAUGGUGAACUAUGCCUGAAUAGGGUGAAGCCAGAGGAAACUCUGGUGGAGGCUCGUAGCGAUUCUGACGUGCAAAUCGAUCGUCGAAUUUGGGUAUAGGGCGAAAGACUAAUCGA
Molecule: ribosomal RNA, 876 nt
Filed under: Entoloma cocles
Lineage: Eukaryota; Fungi; Basidiomycota; Agaricomycetes; Agaricales; Entolomataceae
Description: eukaryotic LSU rRNA
Rfam family: Eukaryotic large subunit ribosomal RNA
Source: RNAcentral